Molecule: long non-coding RNA, 1458 nt
Organism: Daphnia magna
Lineage: Eukaryota; Metazoa; Arthropoda; Branchiopoda; Diplostraca; Daphniidae
Exons: 3
Source: RefSeq, a predicted model, not a curated record
AUUUCCGUGUGCAAGUUUUAAUUAACUAUAGUCUACGUGAUGUUCUAUGGUGCAAGAGAUUCUGCGAGAUUCUGCAUCGUUCAAAGAAGCAAUGUGAUUAGCAGUAUAUAGGAAUUAUUUUUGGUUUAGGAGAAUGUGCUGGGCACAAACUUAAACAUAACGAUAGACAAUGUACUAAAUUAAUCUUUUACGAUCUUUUAAGAAUUAUUUCAACCUAAAAUACGAUUGAAUCUAUCAAAUAUUAAAGUUCUAAAUUUCAACUCCUUCUCAUAAUCAUUGCCAAAAAAUAUUAUUGCAACAUUUUAGCUUUUAGUUAGAAGGUAAACAAGGUGGAUGGAGUAAAAGUUCUUACAAGAACGUUACCUUGUAAUUUAUAAGAUUUAAUCUUGUUACUUGUUUGCCUUGGGUGAACGUGCUUAACUAACCUGGCAACAAGAGUUUUUGAAUCAAGCAAAUUACCUUCCCUAGUUUGUUUAGUCCCUAGUUUAGUUAGUUGUCCAUAGAUGAGUACUCGUUUACAAUUGCGGGAUUCAGUUCAGUACACGCCAGUUCAUUUGGAACCUCUACAAGAAUAUGUAAUAGACUACGACAAGUAUAGAAAGACAGAAAACGUAAAGAAAAUGGUGAAAACAUUCGUCAAAGGAUUAUCUUUCAGCCAGUUUCCUCUUAGGCUGAUUGAAUCCUUUGCAACCAGAGCCAAAGGACAUAAUCAACUGGAGGUGAAGCAGUUUAAAAUUCUGAUGUAAACGAGCGUCUAAGAUGACAAGUUGUCUUGUACUGCGAACGUGAAAUUCUCGACUGAACGUUAAAACCUCGUGUCUCAAUUAAUUCAGGAACUUACGCUACACAACAAUUCAGCUACACAACAGUAACCUUGAAUAACUUGUGUGGUUCAGGUAAUAUCAGGUGUGGGGAUCGAACCCACGUCUCUAUGUAGAGACCAGAACUUAAGUCUGGCGCCUUAACCACUCGGCCAACCUGAUUGUGUUAGUAGGUAAUGACCCCUAAAAGUUAUGAAAAUUUAGCAAGACGUAAAGUUGAUUUUGGGUUACUAAGGGCUACACGGACGCUGCUAAAGUUUAACCUAAAUUGGGAUUCCGUUAGUCUAUGAACGCAUGCAAACUAUGGAAUAUGGAAAUGGUGUUGAAGACGUUUACAGCUAUUCAUAACGAAUGUUGACUGUGUGACGUCUGGCCGUGGUAAAGACUUUUGUGUAUCGUGCUAGAUAUUGGAGGUUGAAUAUACGAUGCAACCUUAUAACGCAUAACUGGCUGAAUCUUGUUCAUGUUAAAGAAGCGUGUGGGCUGCUAGGCUGGUCACAAGACUUAUUUCGUCACACAAUCAACCACCAUAACUUCAUAGAAGCAUUGUCAUCCAUGCCAUUCAGUUUGGUGUGCUGUUUGAGCCUACGAAGAAAUUGCUCCAAAAUUUGAACGCUACGAUCAUCUUUCGGUAUUC